This is a long non-coding RNA of Ornithorhynchus anatinus (platypus), 407 nucleotides long. RefSeq lists it as uncharacterized. The transcript is spliced from 3 exons. Lineage: Eukaryota; Metazoa; Chordata; Mammalia; Monotremata; Ornithorhynchidae. The record is from RefSeq and is a predicted model, not a curated record.
AAUGUCUCAUUUGGAGAAAAUCAGUCUGCCCAAACUAAGAUGAAAAUUUGCAGCAAUGUGGAAAAUCAAGUGCAAGAUUUCCUAGGAUCAAAGGCUUCCAGGAAAUGCCUCUAAAGGGCAUAAUUUUGAAAAACAAAACACGAAAAAGAGAAACAUGCACUGGCCCUGAAAGGAGUGAAGGAAAAUGAGACUGCACCACCGGAUCCACAGAGGGAGACGGAAAAAGAAAAAGGAAAGGAGCCAUGAACAGAAACAAACAUAACCUUUUCCUAAAAGGUUCUCCAUCUAUAAAAAUCGGCAAAAUGUCCCUGACUUCCAACCUUACUGGGAUUAAAUGCUGAGGAGGAUGAAGAGGACGAGCAGGAAGAGGAGGGAAAAAAGUACUGGUAUUUGUAAGCACUGUUCUA